UGAGGAAUAUUGGACAAUGGGCGAGAGCCUGAUCCAGCCAUGCCGCGUGCAGGAAGACGGCCCUAUGGGUUGUAAACUGCUUUUAUACAGGAAGAAACACUCCCUCGUGAGGGAGCUUGACGGUACUGUAGGAAUAAGGAUCGGCUAACUCCGUGCCAGCAGCCGCGGUAAUACGGAGGAUCCAAGCGUUAUCCGGAAUCAUUGGGUUUAAAGGGUCCGUAGGCGGGAUAAUAAGUCAGCGGUGAAAGUCUGUGGCUCAACCAUAGAAUUGCCAUUGAUACUGUUGUUCUUGAGUGUUUAUGAAGUGGUUAGAAUAUGUAGUGUAGCGGUGAAAUGCUUAGAUAUUACAUGGAAUACCGAUUGCGAAGGCAGAUCACUAAUAAAAUACUGACGCUGAUGGACGAAAGCGUAGGUAGCGAACAGGAUUAGAUACCCUGGUAGUCUACGCCGUAAACGAUGGUUACUAGCUGUUCGGAAGCAAUU
RNAcentral lists this ribosomal RNA (483 nucleotides) under uncultured Bacteroidota bacterium. RNAcentral's name for it is "bacterial SSU rRNA". It matches the Rfam family "Bacterial small subunit ribosomal RNA", at positions 355 to 835 of the family's 1533-position model. Lineage: Bacteria; Pseudomonadati; Bacteroidota. The record is from RNAcentral.